Molecule: ribosomal RNA, 301 nt
Filed under: uncultured bacterium
Lineage: Bacteria
Description: partial 16S ribosomal RNA
Rfam family: Bacterial small subunit ribosomal RNA
Source: RNAcentral
CAGUAGCCGCGGGAAUACGAGGGGGGCAAGCGUUGUUCGGAUUUAUUGGGCGUAAAGGGUGCGUAGGCGGUUUGGCAAGUCUUGUGUGAAAUCUUCGGGCUCAACCCGAAGCCUGCACGAGAAACUACCGGGCUUGAGUAUUGGAGAGGUGAGUGGAAUUUCCGGUGUAGCGGUGAAAUGCAUAGAUAUCGGAAGGAACACCUGUGGCGAAAGCGGCUCACUGGACAAUAACUGACGCUGAUGCACGAAAGCUAGGGGAGCAAACAGGAUUAGAUACCCCUGUAGUCCUGUCUCUUAUACA